Molecule: ribosomal RNA, 634 nt
Filed under: uncultured marine eukaryote
Lineage: Eukaryota
Description: SSU rRNA
Rfam family: Eukaryotic small subunit ribosomal RNA
Source: RNAcentral
GGUUAAAAAGCUCGUAGUUGGAUUUCUGUUGAGGGCGACCGGUGUACACCUCGUGUAUUAUUUGGUUCGGUCUCGGCAUCCUCUUGGGGAACGUUUCUGGACUUUAUUGGACAGGGCGAGAUUCAAGACUUUUACUUUGAGGAAAUUAGAGUGUUCACGGCAGGCAAGCGCUUUGAAUACAUUAGCAUGGAAUAAUAAUAUAGGACCUUCGUUCUAUUUUGUUGGUUUCUAGAACUUAGGUAAUGAUUAAUAGGGACAAUUGGGGGCAUUCGUAUUAACGCGUCGGAGGUGGAAUUCUUGGAUUGCGUUACGACGAACUACUGCGAAAGCAUUUGCCAAAGAUGUUUUCAUUGAUCAAGAACGAAAGUAUGGGGAUCGAAGACGCUUAGAUACCGUCGUAGUCUAUACCAUAAACUAUGCCAACUAGAGAUUGGUGGGGUUCUCUUAUUUGGCUCCAUCAGCAUCUUAUGAGAAAUCAAAGUCUUUGGGUUCCGGGGGGAGUAUGGUCGCAAGGCUGAAACUUAAAGGAAUUGACGGAAGGGCACCACCAGGAGUGGAGCCUGCGGCUUAAUUUGACUCAACACGGGAAAACUUACCAGGUCCAGACAUAGUAAGGAUUGACAGAUUGAUAGCU